UCCUACGGGAGGCAGCAGUGGGGAGUAUUGGACAAUGGGCGAAAGCCUGAUCCAGCCAUGCCGCGUGAGUGAUGAAGGCCUUAGGGUUGUAAAGCUCUUUCAGUAGGGAAGAUAAUGACGGUACCUACAGAAGAAGCCCCGGCUAACUUCGUGCCAGCAGCCGCGGUAAU
Molecule: ribosomal RNA, 170 nt
Filed under: uncultured Devosia sp.
Lineage: Bacteria; Pseudomonadati; Pseudomonadota; Alphaproteobacteria; Hyphomicrobiales; Devosiaceae
Description: partial 16S ribosomal RNA
Rfam family: Bacterial small subunit ribosomal RNA
Source: RNAcentral